RNAcentral lists this ribosomal RNA (565 nucleotides) under uncultured bacterium. RNAcentral describes it as "partial 16S ribosomal RNA". It matches the Rfam family "Bacterial small subunit ribosomal RNA", at positions 355 to 914 of the family's 1533-position model. The record is from RNAcentral.
UGGGGAAUUUUGGACAAUGGGCGAAAGCCUGAUCCAGCAAUGCCGCGUGUGUGAAGAAGGCCUUCGGGUUGUAAAGCACUUUUGUCCGGAAAGAAAUCCUUGGCUCUAAUACAGUCGGGGGAUGACGGUACCGGAAGAAUAAGCACCGGCUAACUACGUGCCAGCAGCCGCGGUAAUACGUAGGGUGCAAGCGUUAAUCGGAAUUACUGGGCGUAAAGCGUGCGCAGGCGGUUUGCUAAGACCGAUGUGAAAUCCCCGGGCUCAACCUGGGAACUGCAUUGGUGACUGGCAGGCUAGAGUAUGGCAGAGGGGGGUAGAAUUCCACGUGUAGCAGUGAAAUGCGUAGAGAUGUGGAGGAAUACCGAUGGCGAAGGCAGCCCCCUGGGCCAAUACUGACGCUCAUGCACGAAAGCGUGGGGAGCAAACAGGAUUAGAUACCCUGGUAGUCCACGCCCUAAACGAUGUCAACUAGUUGUUGGGAUUCAUUUCCUUAGUAACGUAGCUAACGCGUGAAGUUGACCGCCUGGGGAGUACGGUCGCAAGAUUAAAACUCAAAUGAAUUGAC